CCCUAUGGGGUGCAGCAGGUUGAAGAUCAUCAAACUUAAAUUAAUAAAAAGGAAGUAUAGCGUAAAGUUAUAAGGCGUCGGCAAAAAAUCGAAGCGCGCAUUGUUUGGCUGCAGCCAGCCGAACCGCAAUGGGAUGGCCGCCAGGAAGGCGAGAAAGAAAUUCGCCAGCGGGCCGGAGAUCGCAACCAGCAUCAAUCCGGAUGAAGAGUGUUGGCGGAUUUUCUGCGGGUUGAUCGGCACCGGUUUGGCCCACCCGAAUCCGGUCAUGACCAGCAUCAGGCUGCCCAUGAUAUCCAGAUGGCUCAAAGGAUUCAAGGUCAGGCGGCCGAACAGCCGCGGCGUAUCGUCGCCGAAGCGCGUGGCUGUCCAGGCGUGUGCGAACUCGUGAAAGGUGAAUGCGAUCAUAAGGGUAACGAUCGCAGAGACGAUAUUGGCGGGGGGGC
This 443-nucleotide ribosomal RNA is filed under the name uncultured prokaryote. RNAcentral describes it as "partial 16S ribosomal RNA". The record is from RNAcentral.